GAUGAACGCUGGCGGCGUGCUUAACACAUGCAAGUCGAACGGGAAACCUUUUAAUGAAGCUUCGGCAGAUUUAGCUGGUUUCUAGUGGCGGACGGGUGAGUAACGCGUGGGUAACCUGCCUUAUACAGGGGGAUAACAGUCAGAAAUGACUGCUAAUACCGCAUAAGCGCACAGGACCGCAUGGUCCGGUGUGAAAAACUCCGGUGGUAUAAGAUGGACCCGCGUUGGAUUAGCUUGUUGGUGGGGUAACGGCUCACCAAGGCGACGAUCCAUAGCCGGCCUGAGAGGGUGAACGGCCACAGUGGGACUGAGACACGGCCCAGACUCCUACGGGAGGCAGCAGUGGGGAAUAUUGCACAAUGGGGGAAACCCUGAUGCAGCGACGCCGCGUGAAGGAAGAAGUAUCUCGGUAUGUAAACUUCUAUCAGCAGGGAAGAUAGUGACGGUACCUGACUAAGAAGCCCCGGCUAACUACGUG
Molecule: ribosomal RNA, 478 nt
Filed under: uncultured bacterium
Lineage: Bacteria
Description: partial 16S ribosomal RNA
Rfam family: Bacterial small subunit ribosomal RNA
Source: RNAcentral